UGUGGGAGCGAGCUUGCUCGCGAUGGCGCAGUGUCAGUCGACAUUAAUUUUGACUGAUGAAUCGCUAUCGCGAGCAAGCUCGCUCCCACA
This 90-nucleotide unclassified non-coding RNA is filed under the name Pseudomonas jessenii. The record is from RNAcentral. Lineage: Bacteria; Pseudomonadati; Pseudomonadota; Gammaproteobacteria; Pseudomonadales; Pseudomonadaceae.